GACGAACGCUGGCGGCGUGCCUAAUACAUGCAAGUAGAACGCUGAAGAGAGGAGCUUGCUCUUCUUGGAUGAGUUGCGAACGGGGGAGUAAAGCGUAGGUAACCUGCCUUGUAGCGGGGGAUAACUAUUGGAAACGAUAGCUAAUACCGCAUAACAAUGGAUGACACAUGUCAGUUAUUUGAAAGGGGCAAUUGCUCCACUACAAGAUGGACCUGCGUUGUAUUAGCUAGUAGGUGAGGUAAUGGCUCACCUAGGCGACGAUACAUAGCCGACCUGAGAGGGUGGUCGGCCACACUGGGACUGAGACACGGCCCAGGCUCCUACGGGAGGGAGCAGUAGGGAAUCUUCGGCAAUGGGGGCAACCCUGACCGAGCAACGCCGCGUGAGUGAAGAAGGUUUUCGGAUCGUAAAGCUCUGUUGUAAGUCGAGAACGGGUGUGAGAGUGGAAAGUUCACACUGUGACGGUAGCUUACCAGAAAGGGACGGCUAACUACGUG
This 497-nucleotide ribosomal RNA is filed under the name uncultured bacterium. RNAcentral's name for it is "partial 16S ribosomal RNA". It matches the Rfam family "Bacterial small subunit ribosomal RNA", at positions 28 to 507 of the family's 1533-position model. The record is from RNAcentral.